Electrophorus electricus (electric eel) is the source of this 2321-nucleotide non-coding RNA. The record is from RefSeq and is a predicted model, not a curated record. Lineage: Eukaryota; Metazoa; Chordata; Actinopteri; Gymnotiformes; Gymnotidae.
GAGAGUGUUCAGUCCUUUAACACACACUGACACACAGCACAAUGAUGAUGUCACUCAUUCUACUGCUGGGGACCCUGGGACUCCUCACUCAGGAAUCCUUUGGGGAGAUAAUUCUGACUCAGUCUCCACAUUCUCAGUCAGUUACACCAGGACCGUAACGAUUCCCACAGGAACAGGCGAGAGGCAGAAUACAUGUGCAGGGGGCAGUUUAUUAACGGAGGAAAAACACAAUCACUGAGGGCAAAAUAACAGGGGCAAGGAGAAAACACUGAGGCAAAAUGAUACCCAAACUAAGCAAAUGGAAAAGCAACGGUGAACCAAUGAGCAUAAUUUAAACACGACAGAACUAACGUAACUCCGCGUGGUGCGGAGACAUGUGGAGUUUUCUUCUUCCACCCCAGGAAUGGGCAGGCCCAGGGGCGCGACUGCGGCAUUCAACGGCGAGUCUGGAAGGUCCAGAGGCACAGCUAAGGCAUUCAGCGGCGGGCCCGUGAGGCCCAAAGGUGGUGCUGCACUGGUCAGCGGUGCUGUACUGGUCAGCGGUGCUGCACUGGUCAGCAGUGCUGUACUGGUCAGCAGUGCUGCAGGGUUCGGAGGUGUCUCUGUGCCGUUCAGCGUUGCUGCGGCGGUCAGCAGCGGGGGGUCCAGGAGGUCUGGAGGCGCGGCUGCACCGGUCAUCGGUGCUGCAGGAAGGUCUGGGGGCGCACCUACAGGUACAGACUCAGCACAAGAAACAGGAACAGGUUGAGACCUCUUGGGUAGUGAGAACAGGCCAGAUGGCCACCACUAGGCCGGGAACAGGAACAGGACUGGCGGCAUCCACUCCACCGGGGACUGGGUCUGGACGGGUGGCGUCUCUUGUGCCAGGGACUGGAACAGGAACUGGCCAGGCGGAGUCAUCUCUCACGGUGGGGACCGGAGCUGGCCGGGUGGUGUCAUCUCUCGCACCGGGGACAGGAUCAGGCUCGGCGGCGUUUCUCAUGCGGGAGGCAGGGGCUGGAUCCGGCUGGGUUUCUCUCGCACCAGGGGCUGGAUCCGGCCAGUUGACGAACACCAUGCCGGAGAUUACGACUGUUCCUCCUCACAGGAGGCAGGGACUGGCUGGGCAGCUGAGAGGGGAGUAGCUAUAGAAGGCAGGUUCGGUAGGGUUGUAGCAAACUGUGCUGUUAACAGCUGGAAGAAACCUUCCACAGUUCUAGCCUCCUGAGCUCUGUGCUGAAAUAUUAUCUCUGCCCACUCCAGUGCUUUACCCCGAAGAAAGGUCUUUAUGAACAGCACCUUCACAAGUUCAGGGGGUUUAGGGCAGGUCAGGCACUGGAGAUAGUUGCGGCACUGCAUAAUGAAUCUCCCUACUGACUUGUCCUCCCCGUCAUGCUCACUCGGAGUCACCAUAAGUGAGGGAAAUACCAGUGGCUUGAUAUAAGCAAGCUCCCCCUCUGGGAGUAAUCCAGUGUCCCUCAUAGCAUGGCAUGACGGUUGCUGAACUCAAGAUGACGGAACACGAUGCGACGGAUCGAAGCCCUCCUGCUGCAUUCUCUUAGUUGGGUUUGGUUGUUCUGUAAAGAUUCCCAUAGGAACAGGCGAGACGCAGAAUGCAUGUGCAGGGGGCAGUUUAUUAACGGAGGAAAAACACAAUCACUGAAGGCAAAAUAACGGGCAAGGAGAAAACACUGAGGCAAAAUGAUACACAAACUAAUCAAACGGAAAAGCAACAGGAAACCCACGAGCAUAAUUUAUACAGGACAGUACUAACGUAACUUACCAAAAUAACCAACAAACUAGAAAACAAAACACGCAACAAAACUAAGGAGCAGAACCAGGCACUGCAGGAAAACAGACAACAGGGAAACCAUGACAACAGGAAUACCAGGAUGGCAGCCACUCCUGACAAGGACAGAUUGAUACUAUCAGUUGCAGGGCCAGUCUGGGUAUUAGCAAUUACCUCCACUGGUACCUACAGAAACCUGGAGAAGCUCCUAAACUCCUAAUCCAUUAUUCAUCUACCUGUCAGUCUGGGAUUCCAGAUAUAUAAAUGUUUUAUUUUUGUGUGUUCUGGUAAGUAGGGAGUGGCUGCCAUUGUGUUUGGAGCCUGGGUUAUUUUAUAUGUUUUCUCUUAUUGAGUUACUGUAGUCUUGUGUAUUUAUUUUGUCUGUGUUUUCACUUAUGGAGUUUAUGUAGUCUUAUGUGUUUAUUUCGUCCUGUACAGGUUUAGUCAGCAUCUUUAUUUUCUAGUGUGGGUUAGUACCAGUGUUAGACUUUGAACUGUGUUUAUUAGAUGUUGGAUAUUUUGUUCAUAUAAUACACUGGCACACCUUGAACUA